GCGCCCGUAGCUCAGUGGAUAGAGCAGCAGACUACGGAUCUGAAGGUCGGGGGUUCGAAUCCCUCUGGGCGCGCCA
RNAcentral lists this transfer RNA (76 nucleotides) under Bacillota bacterium. RNAcentral's name for it is "Firmicutes bacterium (hot springs metagenome) tRNA-Arg". It matches the Rfam family "tRNA". Rfam says of the family: Transfer RNA (tRNA) molecules are approximately 80 nucleotides in length. Their secondary structure includes four short double-helical elements and three loops (D, anti-codon, and T loops). The record is from RNAcentral. Lineage: Bacteria; Bacillati; Bacillota. RNAcentral also lists the same sequence under 1 other name.